Non-coding RNA from Kogia breviceps (pygmy sperm whale), 1116 nucleotides. The record is from RefSeq and is a predicted model, not a curated record. Lineage: Eukaryota; Metazoa; Chordata; Mammalia; Artiodactyla; Physeteridae.
GAAGGUGAAAGGGUCUCAGGCGGAGCCGGUUUGCGGGCUCCUUCUGCCAAACCUUACCAAUCGGCGGCCCGGAACAGGAUGGCUGCUCUUUUUCUGAAGAGGUUAACAUUACAAAGUGUAAAAACAGAAAAUACUUGCAUUAGAAGAUGUUUGGGUAAAUACGUCGUCCAAAAGACGGCGCUGGCGGAGCCAUCCCACAUUGCCUCUGCCCCGAGCCCGUCCUGCCUCAUUCACGCGGAAGCUUUUAGUACUGAAGACACCCAGGACAAGAGAGAAAAGAAGAAAAAGAAUGAAACCGCUUUUCGUAAUGUUGGAAGAAAAAUUAACGAGCGCAUCAUUCAGGUGCUGGACGAGAAGGGCAACGACCUGGGCCCCAUGCACCGGGCGAACGUGAUAAGGCUCAUGGCCGAGCAGGACCUGCGGCUGGUGCCGAGGGACCCCGGCGCCCAGCCCCCGCGGUACCAGCUCAUGACGGGCACGCAGAUCUACCAGGAGCGGCUCCGGCUCAGAGGCACGGAGAGGGCCGAGCCCAAGCCUGGACCCACCCUGACAAAGGAACUGACUUUUUCUUCAAAUAUUGGACAACAUGAUUUGGACACAAAGAGUAAACAGAUUCAGCAGUGGAUCGAGAAAAAGUACAAAGUUCAGAUUACAAUAAAGAAAGGGAAGAAUACAGAAGAGCCAGAAAACAAAAUGGAGGAGAUAUGUAAUCAAAUACUCCAGACUAUGCCUGGAAUAGCUACCUUCUCAUCCAGGCCACAGCCCAUCAGAGGGGGAAAGGCUGUGAUGUGUGUGCUUCGUCCCUUGAGCCAAAAGGAAGAGAAUGCGUGCAGAUCAGCUCUGGGGACCCAGAGAGGACGUGCUCUGAACAGAGAAAAUGGAAACGACGGAGCAUCCAAUGCUCUGCACCAAUGAUUUUAAUAAAAACGUGUCUGAGAGAAAAUAACUGAGCUGGCUGGUCUGCGGUCCUUCAAACAAAGCAGUCUGGGUCAUGCACGACGGCAUGCCUGCUGAGGCUCUGCUACAAUGAAGGAAACAGAAAAACAGUUUUAUUUGUAAAACACUGCCACUUGGUAUUCGGUAUCUGCUAAUAUGAAAACCCCAUGAGUCAUUUAC